RNAcentral lists this unclassified non-coding RNA (777 nucleotides) under Hevea brasiliensis (rubber tree). The record is from RNAcentral. Lineage: Eukaryota; Viridiplantae; Streptophyta; Magnoliopsida; Malpighiales; Euphorbiaceae.
GUAAAUGUUAAAUUCCCCUUCUUCGCCCCUACGGGUUAUGUAUCUCAAUCAAUCCGUUCCCGAUGUGCUUUUAUUUUGUAGAGAACGCCGCCGGAAGUGAUUCCGACUCGAACCCCGAUGAUUCGCCGGAAUAUUACGAGCCAAUCUCUUCCACCGCUGAUGACGACGAUGUACACAUCUCCGAUCAGAUUCCAGAUCAUGUUCAGAGCUCGGAUGAUGAAGAGUGCGACGAAUCUAGUAACUUUCAUCGCCUCCCUAAUGGCUAUGUGAAUUGUGUAGAAAACGGGAUAUCAUCACUGGAUCUAAGUGACGAGGAUGGUGAAUAUAAGAGUGAGGUUGAAGAAGAGGAGGAGAGGAUAAGAGCGGCGUCUGAUACUGCUGUACGGAGAGCAUUCAGAGAGGAUGAGAGCCGUCGCAACACUCCAUUGACGACGGAGAAUGCAAGGAGAGUAAUGGAAGCCAUGCGUAGGAUUUCUUUUGGUGGAGUGGCUCCUGAUUGGACCAGCCAAGUUCCGGAGGAUCAGUGGAUCGAUCAUCUACAAAGAUUGAGAAGUCCACCUGCUACUACCUCGACGAACUGAAACCGAUUUGCCUUCGAUUAGUAAUUGCCUGAGCUUUACUGCUUUAAUAUUUUUUGUUGUAGCUCAACUUCUGAUGUGCUAGCUAUUGUUGUUAAUUGUUAAAAACUAAGUUGUGGUUGAACCUUUCCAGCCUUCUAAGGUCAUGAAUAUGCUUUAGGAUUUUUGCUGGAAAUAGAUAUUUCUUAAUCUAUGAUGG